CGCCUGUUUAUCAAAAACAUAACCUCUUUCAAAAACAAAAAAUAAGAGGUCCUGCCUGCCCCGUGAUUAUAAAUAUAAAGCCCGCGGUAUUUUGUCCGUGCGAAGGUAGCGCAAUCACUUGUCUCUUAAAUAGAGACCCGUAUGAAAAGCAAGACGAGGGUUUAUCUGUCUCCCUUUUUGAGUCAAGGAAAAUGAUCUCCCCGUGCAGAAACGGGGAUAAACACAUUAGACGAGAAGACCCUAUGGAGCUUUAGACACUAAAGCAGCCCACGUUAAGCACCCUUGAUUAAAAGGCCAAACCAAUCCCCUUUUAGAGUCCAUAUCGACAAGGGGGUUUACGACCUCGAUGUUGGAUCAGGACAUCCUAAUGGUGCAGCCGCUAUUAAGGGUUCGUUUGUUCAACGAUUAAAGUCCUACGUGAUCUGAGUUCAGGCCGG
Molecule: ribosomal RNA, 437 nt
Filed under: Genypterus maculatus
Lineage: Eukaryota; Metazoa; Chordata; Actinopteri; Ophidiiformes; Ophidiidae
Description: partial 16S ribosomal RNA
Rfam family: Bacterial large subunit ribosomal RNA
Source: RNAcentral